GACAGAGGAGCCAAGCGUUGUCCGGAUUGACUGGCGUAAAGCGCACGCAGGCGGCUCGGCGCGUGGGGUGUGAAAGCUGGCGGCUUAACUGCCAGACGCCAUCCCAUACGGCUGGCUCGAGCCCUGCAGAGGUCCGAUGGAAUUGCCGGUGUAGUGGUGAAAUGCGUAGAGAUCGGCAGGAACACCCAGGGGGAAACCGAGUGGACUGGGCAGGAGCUGGACCGCUGCAGG
Molecule: ribosomal RNA, 231 nt
Filed under: uncultured bacterium
Lineage: Bacteria
Description: partial 16S ribosomal RNA
Rfam family: Bacterial small subunit ribosomal RNA
Source: RNAcentral